GAAGGCGCUCUGCUGGGCCAUCACUGACGCUCAUGGACGAAAGCCAGGGGAGCGAAAGGGAUUAGAUACCCCUGUAGUCCUGGCCGUAAACGAUGAACACUAGGUGUCGGGGGAAUCGACCCCCUCGGUGUCGUAGCCAACGCGUUAAGUGUUCCGCCUGGGGAGUACGCACGCAAGUGUGAAACUCAAAGGAAUUGACGGGGGCCCGCACAAGCGGUGGAGUAUGUGGUUUAAUUCGAUGCAACGCGAAGAACCUUACCAGGGUUUGACAUCCUGCGAAUCUCUUGGAAACAGGAGAGUGCCUUCGGGAACGCAGUGACAGGUGGUGCAUGGCUGUCGUCAGCUCGUGUCGUGAGAUGUUGGGUUAAGUCCCGCAACGAGCGCAACCCACGUCUUUAGUUGCCAGCAUUUAGUUGGGCACUCUAGAGAGACUGCCGGUGAUAAACCGGAGGAAGGUGUGGAUGACGUCAAGUCAUCAUGCCCCUUACAUCCUGGGCUACACACGUACUACAAUGCUACGGACAAAGGGCUGCAAGUUCGCGAGGACAAGCAAAUCCCAUAAACCGUGGCUCAGUUCAGAUCGUAGGCUGCAACUCGCCUACGUGAAGGCGGAAUCGCUAGUAAUCGCAGGUCAGCAUACUGCGGUGAAUACGUUCCCGGGCCUUGUACACACCGCCCGUCACACCAUGGAAGUUGGCCACGCCCGAAGCCGUUACUCCAACCCUUGUGGAGGAGGACGUCGAAGGUGGGGCUGAUGACUGGGGUGAAGUCGUAACAAGGUAACCGUA
RNAcentral lists this ribosomal RNA (788 nucleotides) under uncultured bacterium. RNAcentral's name for it is "bacterial SSU rRNA". It matches the Rfam family "Bacterial small subunit ribosomal RNA", at positions 717 to 1504 of the family's 1533-position model. The record is from RNAcentral.